RNAcentral lists this small RNA (331 nucleotides) under Candidatus Nitrotoga sp. SPKER. RNAcentral describes it as "Long range pseudoknot". Lineage: Bacteria; Pseudomonadati; Pseudomonadota; Betaproteobacteria; Nitrosomonadales; Gallionellaceae. The record is from RNAcentral.
ACAGAUGAUGGGGAUUACAACAUCAAGUUACGUAACUUAAUUCGAUUUCUGGGAGAGGGUGACAAGACCAAAAUUACGCUGCGUUUUCGUGGGCGUGAGAUUGCGCAUCAGGGUAUUGGCAUGCAAAUGAUGGAGCGGGUUAUGGCUGAUCUUGGGGAGCAUGGUACCGUGGAGCAGUAUCCUAAAAUGGAAGGUCGUCAGAUGGUGAUGGUAUUGGCGCCGAAAAAAAAAUAAUUUAAUGGGGUAAAUUCCGGUUUUAUCGGGGUUAAUAUUUUAAUGUUGCUCGGAUUAAGGGACUGGUCAGGGCAGCUUAGCAGUAAACAGUCCCCAA